This 28-nucleotide small RNA is filed under the name Bombyx mori (domestic silkworm). RNAcentral describes it as "ovarian small RNA-29496". The record is from RNAcentral. Lineage: Eukaryota; Metazoa; Arthropoda; Insecta; Lepidoptera; Bombycidae.
UCUAGUAUGCACACUCUCUCAGAUAUAC